This 22-nucleotide microRNA is filed under the name Danio rerio (zebrafish). Its description in RNAcentral is "dre-miR-10d-3p". Its record names the gene dre-miR-10d-3p. Lineage: Eukaryota; Metazoa; Chordata; Actinopteri; Cypriniformes; Danionidae. RNAcentral also lists the same sequence under 1 other name. The record is from miRBase by way of RNAcentral.
CAGAUUCGGUUUUAGGGGAGUA